Molecule: ribosomal RNA, 119 nt
Filed under: Pteropus alecto (black flying fox)
Lineage: Eukaryota; Metazoa; Chordata; Mammalia; Chiroptera; Pteropodidae
Source: RNAcentral
GUCUAUGGCCAUGCUACCCUGAACAACUCCGAUCCCGUCUGAUUUCAAAAGCUAAGCAGGGUCAGGCCUGGUUAGUACUUGGAUGGGAGACCACCUAGGAAGACCAGGUGCUAUAGGCG